GAGGCUGCAGAGGUCAGAGGGCUUAGAAACUGGCAGAGUCAGAUGAGCUUUUGCCCAGAAACCGGACAGAAUGGCAACUAGACGGUAGGGUUGCUAUGACCAUCUCCUGUCCAGCUUCUUCCUUCUGGAGAUGGCAGUUGGUCAGACAGGCCAGGGCUAGCAGGAGGUUGUUGAAGAGAUCCAGUGAUAUGGUGAGGCUGUGGAUGGGCUGGUGUCUAUGUGUGGGAAGGUGUAGAUACCAAAAGCAGAAAUCUGGUCAGCCUGUAAGAAGUACAUUGCAGUUACUGCAAUAAGUGGAAUAAAUCCCACUUACAUGUCCCAGUAAACUGGGAAUAAUGUCAAGCUCUUCUCUGGACUGGAAGACAUUCCAGGCUUGGAAGUCAGCCUGAAUCAAAUUUCUGCUCCCCUUGCACCUCCAUGGUGUAGAAAGAAGGCAAAUGCAGACACGUAGGCUAGAUGUUUCUAUAUGCUUGUACUAUAUGAAUCCGUGCGGCACAAGAUGCAGCUAUGCUAAGCCGUGAUGUUUACUUACCCGUGUAUGAGCUUCAUUUGCUACCAGCGUCUUCCUCCUGAUGAGUUAGAAAAACCAUAAACUCAGAACGUGCACUUUUCCUGCAGGGCCACUGAGUGUCACCAUCGCUCCGUGGCUUGCUCUCAAGAUGCCGUUUCUCCGGCAAAACUCCUUUUGUUGAAAUGGGUUAGAAAGGAAAAAAUGUAAUGGGAAUGAAAAUGAGAUGCUUCUUGCUGAGAUACCCAGAGCUGGGAAGAUCUGCACCUACAAUGCGAGCAAGCAGUGCUACCUAUGGAAUGAAUCCUGGUUUAUAUUUAGGCGUAGCCCUUGACAGGAUUCCAGCCAGACCCUAUAAAGCCAGACCCACAAAUUAUAGCAGGAAUCUCGAGUGACAACAGUUAUGGGAUGGAAAAGUGCUUCAUCAGGAAACACUAAAAAGGCCAGAAUUCCACCAUUUGCUGAGCAGAAUGAACAGAAUUUGGUGAGCAGAUGAGGGACUGAGAUUUACAAAAAUAAAGAAGGUGAUGGAUAAA
RNAcentral lists this long non-coding RNA (1044 nucleotides) under Strigops habroptila (Kakapo). Its description in RNAcentral is "lncRNA (ENSSHBG00005018869.1)". The record is from RNAcentral. Lineage: Eukaryota; Metazoa; Chordata; Aves; Psittaciformes; Psittacidae.